GACGAACGCUGGCGGCGUGCUUAACACAUGCAAGUCGAACGGUAAGGCUCCAGCUUGCUGGGGUACACGAGUGGCGAACGGGUGAGUAACACGUGGGUGACCUGCCCUGCACUUCGGGAUAAGCCUGGGAAACUGGGUCUAAUACCGGAUAGGACCGCACCGUGAGGGUGUGGUGGAAAGUUUUUUCGGUGUGGGAUGGGCCCGCGGCCUAUCAGCUUGUUGGUGGGGUAAUGGCCUACCAAGGCGGCGACGGGUAGCCGGCCUGAGAGGGCGGACGGCCACAUUGGGACUGAGACACGGCCCAGACUCCUACGGGAGGCAGCAGUGGGGAAUAUUGCACAAUGGGCGGAAGCCUGAUGCAGCGACGCCGCGUGGGGGAUGACGGCCUUCGGGUUGUAAACUCCUUUCACCAUCGACGAAGGGUUUCUGACGGUAGAUGGAGAAGAAGCACCGGCUAACUACGUGCCAGCAGCCGCGGUAAUACGUAGGGUGCGAGCGUUGUCCGGAAUUACUGGGCGUAAAGAGCUCGUAGGUGGUUUGUCGCGUCGUCUGUGAAAUUCCGGGGCUUAACUCCGGGCGUGCAGGCGAUACGGGCAUAACUUGAGUACUGUAGGGGAGACUGGAAUUCCUGGUGUAGCGGUGAAAUGCGCAGAUAUCAGGAGGAACACCGGUGGCGAAGGCGGGUCUCUGGGCAGUAACUGACGCUGAGGAGCGAAAGCAUGGGGAGCGAACAGGAUUAGAUACCCUGGUAGUCCAUGCCGUAAACGGUGGGCGCUAGGUGUGGGUUUCCUUCCACGGGAUCCGUGCCGUAGCUAACGCAUUAAGCGCCCCGCCUGGGGAGUACGGCCGCAAGGCUAAAACUCAAAGGAAUUGACGGGGGCCCGCACAAGCGGCGGAGCAUGUGGAUUAAUUCGAUGCAACGCGAAGAACCUUACCUGGGCUUGACAUAUACAGGAUCGCGCCAGAGAUGGUGUUUCCCUUGUGGCUUGUAUACAGGUGGUGCAUGGUUGUCGUCAGCUCGUGUCGUGAGAUGUUGGGUUAAGUCCCGCAACGAGCGCAACCCUUGUCUUAUGUUGCCAGCACGUUGUGGUGGGGACUCGUAAGAAACUGCCGGGGUUAACUCGGAGGAAGGUGGGGAUGACGUCAAAUCAUCAUGCCCCUUAUGUCCAGGGCUUCACACAUGCUACAAUGGUCGGUACAGUGGGUUGCCAGUCCGUGAGGGCGAGCUAAUCCCGCAAAGCCGGUCUCAGUUCGGAUCGGGGUCUGCAACUCGACCCCGUGAAGUCGGAGUCGCUAGUAAUCGCAGAUCAGCAACGCUGCGGUGAAUACGUUCCCGGGCCU
Molecule: ribosomal RNA, 1341 nt
Filed under: uncultured bacterium
Lineage: Bacteria
Description: 16S ribosomal RNA
Rfam family: Bacterial small subunit ribosomal RNA
Source: RNAcentral